This is a long non-coding RNA of Diachasmimorpha longicaudata, 821 nucleotides long. RefSeq lists it as uncharacterized. NCBI's taxonomy places the organism in Eukaryota, Metazoa, Arthropoda, Insecta, Hymenoptera, Braconidae. The record is from RefSeq and is a predicted model, not a curated record. The transcript is spliced from 3 exons.
CAGUAAUAAAUCAUGACCCGUUAAUAUUGCAUGUGACAGCCGAUCCCUUCGAUAUCAUCUUUCAUUUUUUUACUGUAGAGAGAUUGAAUAUUACUCCCUCGAUGGUGACCAUGAAAGUUCUAUUGGAGGUAUUAUUACACAUUCGAUAGAUGAUUUUGCUGGCGAUUACGCCAUCAUUGAUGGAAACUGGCAUCACGUCCAGCAAAAAACAGAACGAGAUGUAAUUUUCUUCCACGACCGAAAUUUGGCAAUAAAGUUUGAUGACAUUCACAUGAGCAGACAACAAAGAAUGUGCAGGGUAAUUCAAUUGGCAUGUAAUAAUAAGUGAAGGGCUUGGACUUGAAUGGUCGAACGUCUAGUCAGACUCAAAGUCUGAGACAAAUCAUUCUAUGUACGAAGUUGAUGGACUAUGAUACUCCAAACGCAUAUAAUCAGGAAUACUUAUGUAAUACUUAGAUGAUGUUUAUUAACAGAUAUCUAAAUUUCAUAGUCUGAUCACUUCAAGACAUUACAAACAUAGAAUCCAAUCGAGGUCACAUAUAUGAUGAUUUUACUGAACACCUGCAAGGGAAUGAGCCAAACAAUUAUAACAGAGGACAUCAUUAUUUUUACUUACUGACUUUAUUAGUUCUAACGUAAACGGCAAAAUCUAGUUUUUGUCAGACUAGAAGACCGUCGCCUCCCCCUGAUAAUCACUAACCGCCAGAAAAGGAAGGAUAAUUGAAUGAGGGGUAAGUGUUCGAUCCGGCGAUGCUGAUCAGCCUCAGAAUCAUCAAUUCAUGGAAGAUUGUCGCAUCAACGUUAGGUACGAAAAAGCAGUG